CUUAAGCAUAUCAAUAAGCGGAGGAAAAGAAACCAACAGGGAUUACCUUAGUAACGGCGAGUGAAGCGGUAAUAGCUCAAAUUUGAAAUCUUACUCUUUCAGAGUACGAAUUGUAAUUUGUAGAGGAUGUUUUUGAGUAAUAUCAAUCUAAGUUUCUUGGAACAGAACGUCAUAGAGGGUGAGAAUCCCGUAUGUGAUUGAUUAAUUCUCUACACAAAACUCCUUCGAAGAGUCGAGUUGUUUGGGAAUGCAGCUCUAAAUGGGAGGUAAAUUUCUUCUAAAGCUAAAUAUUUGCCAGAGACCGAUAGCGCACAAGUAGAGUGAUCGAAAGAUGAAAAGCACUUUGAAAAGAGAGUUAAAAAGCACGUGAAAUUGUUGAAAGGGAAGCGUUUGAGAUUAGACUUGUUAACAGUAUUCGCUUGGUUCUUGAACUGAGUUAUUUGCUGUUUGCAGGCCAACAUCAUUUUCGUCUAUCGGAUAAUUGCUUAAGAAUGUAGCUCCUCGGAGUAUUAUAGCUUAAGUCGAUACGAUAAGAUGGGAGUGAGGUCCGCGAGAAAUCUAGGAUGUUGGCGUAAUGAUCUUAAACGGCCCGUCUUGAAACACGGACCAAGGAGUCGAUCAAUUAUGCGAGUUUUCGGGUGUCAAACCCUUAAGCGUAAUGAAAGUGAACGGAGGUGAGAGCUUAGGCGCAUCAUCGACCGAUCCUGAUGUCUUCGGAUGGAUUUGAGUAAGAGCAUAAUUGAUCGGACCCGAAAGAUGGUGAACUAUGCGUGAAUAGGGUGAAGCCAGAGGAAACUCUGGUGGAGGCUCGCAGCGGUUCUGACGUGCAAAUCGAUCGUCAAAUUUGCGUAUAGGGGCGAAAGACUAAUCGAACCAUCAAUUGGCCU
RNAcentral lists this ribosomal RNA (887 nucleotides) under Dothideomycetes sp. 1 GS-2016. RNAcentral's name for it is "eukaryotic LSU rRNA". It matches the Rfam family "Eukaryotic large subunit ribosomal RNA", at positions 33 to 952 of the family's 3401-position model. The record is from RNAcentral. Lineage: Eukaryota; Fungi; Ascomycota; Dothideomycetes.